GGGCCCGCACAAGCGGUGGAGCAUGUGGCUUAAUUCGAGGCAACGCGAAGAACCUUACCUGGUCUUGACAUGCCCGUCAUAGUUUUCCGAAAGGAAUUCGUCAGUUCGGCUGGACGGUGCACAGGUGCUGCAUGGCUGUCGUCAGCUCGUGUCGUGAGAUGUUCGUUAAGUCCGGCAACGAGCGCAACCCUCGUUCCUAGUUGCCAGCGGGUAAUGCCGGGGACUCUAGGAAGACAAACCUCGUGUAGAGGUGGGAAGGUGGGGACGACGUCAAGUCAGUAUGGCCCUUACGACCAGGGCUGCACACGUGCUACAAUGCCCAGCACAAUGGGAUGCAACGCCGCGAGGUU
This 350-nucleotide ribosomal RNA is filed under the name uncultured bacterium. RNAcentral's name for it is "bacterial SSU rRNA". It matches the Rfam family "Bacterial small subunit ribosomal RNA", at positions 917 to 1264 of the family's 1533-position model. The record is from RNAcentral.